This 64-nucleotide transfer RNA is filed under the name Rhodella violacea. It matches the Rfam family "tRNA", at positions 5 to 66 of the family's 71-position model. From Rfam's summary of the family: Transfer RNA (tRNA) molecules are approximately 80 nucleotides in length. Their secondary structure includes four short double-helical elements and three loops (D, anti-codon, and T loops). Further hydrogen bonds mediate the characteristic L-shaped molecular structure. tRNAs have two regions of fundamental functional importance: the anti-codon, which is responsible for specific mRNA codon recognition, and the 3' end, to which the tRNAs corresponding amino acid is attached (by aminoacyl-tRNA synthetases). tRNAs cope with the degeneracy of the genetic code in two manners: having more than one tRNA (with a specific anti-codon) for a particular amino acid; and 'wobble' base-pairing, i.e. permitting non-standard base-pairing at the 3rd anti-codon position. Lineage: Eukaryota; Rhodophyta; Rhodellophyceae; Rhodellales; Rhodellaceae. The record is from RNAcentral.
UCGUGGCGCAACGGAUAGCGCGUCGGUUUUCGGCGCCGAAGGUUGCAGGUUCGAGUCCUGCCGA